GGACGAACGCUGGCGGCGUGCUUAACACAUGCAAGUCGAACGGUGAAGCGCCUUCCUUUUUGGUGGGUGUGGAUGAGUGGCGAACGGGUGAGUAACACGUGAGUAACCUGCCCCCUUCUUCUGGAUAACCGCAUGAAAGUGUGGCUAAUACGGGAUAUUCUGGGUCUGUCGCAUGAUGGGUCUGGGAAAGAUAUUGUUUCGGUGGGGGAUGGGCUCGCGGCCUAUCAGCUUGUUGGUGGGGUGAUGGCCUACCAAGGCGGUGACGGGUAGCCGGCCUGAGGGGGUGGACGGUCACACUGGGACUGAGACACGGCCCAGACUCCUACGGGAGGCAGCAGUGGGGAAUAUUGCACAAUGGGCGCAAGCCUGAUGCAGCGACGCCGCGUGAGGGAUGGAGGCCUUCGGGUUGUGAACCUCUUUCGCCAGUGAAGCAGGCCUGCCUCGUUUGUGGGUGGGUUGACGGUAGCUGGAUAAGAAGCGCCGGCUAACUACGUG
This 495-nucleotide ribosomal RNA is filed under the name uncultured bacterium. Its description in RNAcentral is "partial 16S ribosomal RNA". It matches the Rfam family "Bacterial small subunit ribosomal RNA", at positions 27 to 507 of the family's 1533-position model. The record is from RNAcentral.